RNAcentral lists this long non-coding RNA (1404 nucleotides) under Chloebia gouldiae (Gouldian finch). Its description in RNAcentral is "Erythrura gouldiae (Gouldian finch) lncRNA (ENSEGOG00005013720.1)". Lineage: Eukaryota; Metazoa; Chordata; Aves; Passeriformes; Passeridae. The record is from RNAcentral.
CUGGCUUUCUGAAUAAUGAAUUGAACUUUAAUAUUUAUUAAAUACAAAAUAGUAAUAAAUUACAAUUGCACAAUUUCUUACAGUUUUUAUUAAGAUCAAAACUUAUUUGUUCAGACUAGAUUUAUAUAAAUAAAUGACAGUACCUUUUUUACUUGUGUUCAGAAGAUUGUAAUACAUAUUACAAAAUUAAGAAUUGUUUUAUCCCUCAAACCAUCACUGCGAAAAGAAUCAUGCAUUAUUUCUACUAAACAAACAAAAUGCCCACCUAAUUGAGAGAGCCUUGAUACAAGUAUGGCCCUACUCUCCAAAAUUAGACAUGAAACAUAGAGAUACCAGGACUAUUUAUUGAACAAGAAAUAAUAGAGUAUAGUACAAUGUUGAUGUGCUACCAAAACCAAAAGUAUACCAAAACAACACAGCUCUCUUCACGCGCCUUUGCGACGGGUAUCGAGGAUGGCAGCUGGCCGGCAUGCAACCAAGUAAAACACUCAGUUUUACAACGUCUAUGUUCGAGCACAAAGGAGGAGGAACUAAAGAGCCCAGACAAAACAAAGGAACAAAUGAAGAGCCCAGAUGUUUGCAAGUCCUCCCGUCACCUCCCCUGCCGUGCCGCACGCGCUGCCUUUGCUCCGCGCUCCUUUCCUGGGCAGCGCCGCCACCGCCCUUUGUGCACCUCCGAGGAGAUGGAUGUGCUCCCAGAGAACUGCAGGGCCCUGGAGAACUUCCAGCUGUGGUUCCUUGCCCAACCCACUGUGUUACAAAAGAACUGUAAGCACAACUCUUGGAACUAGCAGCUGGCACCUGGCACAGCUCGGCUCGAGUGCUGCUGUCACCAAAUCUGCCCUGCUGCCCUUUCCUACAGCACAGGGUGCUUCUAUUAAAUUCUACAGUAUUGUGGAUUGCUUUCUCUACAUAAUUUUUUUCCUACUAGAUAAGAAAUCCAUUGUUUUCUCCCUUGUUACUGAGAUGCAAUCGUUUGGCAGUGCACUGUUCUAAGGGGAAAAAAGCAUUUCAUCAUUGACACUUCAGAUGGAGUCACCUGAUCCACUUUUUCCACUUCCCUUUGUUCAAAUGAAAUAUAUAAACAGCAAAGUAAUUUCAGAUGGAUUUCUAGCUGGGUAAAACAGAUUUUCCAACUGAAUUUCCUGGUCCCCAUUUAUUGUUUGUUGCUUUUAAAUCAGAAGAGUUUUUCAGUUAUUUUUUAUUUCAGUUGCAGACAUGUCCCCUCAGUGCUUGAGUGUUGCUAGGUGAUAAGCAUGUAAAUCAAUAUAUCUCUUGUGUCUCUGGCUUUGGGUGCUCCUGUUAAUAUAGCUACAUACACAUGCUUGGUGUUCAAAGCACAUGAAUGGAACCAAACUAAACCAAACCAAACCAAAGAAUAAAAACAACCUAAAAGCCCCCUCA